Molecule: ribosomal RNA, 421 nt
Filed under: uncultured bacterium
Lineage: Bacteria
Description: bacterial SSU rRNA
Rfam family: Bacterial small subunit ribosomal RNA
Source: RNAcentral
UUUUGGACAAUGGGGGAAACCCUGAUCCAGCCAUGCCGCGUGUGUGAAGAAGGCCUUCGGGUUGUAAAGCACUUUCGGACGGAACGAAAUUGCGCGGGCGAAUAUCCCGCGUAGAUGACGGUACCGUAAGAAGAAGCACCGGCUAACUACGUGCCAGCAGCCGCGGUAAUACGUAGGGUGCAAGCGUUAACCGGAAUUACUGGGCGUAAAGCGUGCGCAGGCGGCGUCGCAAGUCAGGCGUGAAAUCCCCGAGCUUAACUUGGGAAUUGCGCUUGAAACUACGAUGCUAGAGUGUGGCAGAGGGAGGUGGAAUUCCACGUGUAGCGGUGAAAUGCGUAGAUAUGUGGAGGAACACCGAUGGCGAAGGCAGCCUCCUGGGCCAACACUGACGCUCAUGCACGAAAGCGUGGGGAGCAAACAG